RNA transcript from Oncorhynchus masou masou (cherry salmon), 4274 nucleotides. It is a transcript of the gene named HCLS1 associated protein X-1, with no coding region annotated. The record is from RefSeq and is a predicted model, not a curated record. The transcript is spliced from 8 exons. NCBI's taxonomy places the organism in Eukaryota, Metazoa, Chordata, Actinopteri, Salmoniformes, Salmonidae.
CGUUUGCUAAUUGAGAUUAUCGCAGAACAAAAUAUAUAAAAAAUAUCCUAAACCUGUGUUUACCACAUUAUUUUCGUUGUUUAUUCCAAAACGCCCUUAAUUUUCCCAAUAGGCUUUGUCCAAGCGAACCAUGGAGUUAGUGCCUACAAAAAUACGCCAUUACUAUUGCCCUACGGUAAACUGUUCGGUGUGUUCCAAAACCGUCGAUUGCUUUAUUCUCCAGGGAAGUCUGGCUUUACGGCAGUCUUGAAGUCGUCCUUCGACUAGUUUAGCAUGAAGUAGCUACAUUUACAUCAAACGUUUGAUUCAAAUGAGCUUAUUUGAUCUAUUUCGUGGAUUUUUUGGGGUACCUGGAGGAGGCCAUGAUCGUGGUGAGGGCCGAAGGGACCCCUUCUUCGAUGGCAUGACCCACGACGAUGAUGAUGAUGAAGAGGAGGAUGGAAUCUACUUUGAUGGUUCACAGGGUGGUGGUGGCCAGCAGGACCUGUUUGAUAAUCAGUGGAGGUUUGGGUUCAGCAUGGGCCCAAACGGAGUGAGGAUCCAGGAGCCUGAGAUGUUUAGCCAGUUCUUCAGAGAGAUGGAGAUCUUCUCACAGCUAGGGCGAUACGAUGGUCAGUUUGGAGUAGGACAGUUUGGUGUUACCGGUAUUGAGGCGCCCCUUUCCCAGGACAGGUCAGAGAAAGGUGGGGGAGGUUCCAGUGGAAACUCAUUGAGGGACUUCAUGUUGAAAGGCCCCAAUGACUGCCCGUGUGGGUCGACUGGGCUACCCUCAGGACCAUCAGAAGGCCCCAGGGUCGAUAAGAACCCUCCAUCUGGUGGCCCAUGCUUCCCCAACACACCCUUUGAUUACUGGACACCCUUUUCUAAGUUCAAUGAUAGUUGGAGAGGAAGGCUACAAAGGGGUCAAAAGCAGGAGCCGAAAGCAGACAGAGAUCUGGACUCACAAGUCUCCUUUGGAGGGCUCGAUCAGAUUCUAGCGCCACCUGCUUGGUCUUCCACUCAGCCAAAGAUGCGCUCUUACUUCCAGUCGGUCACUGUCACCAAAGUGGUGAAGCCUGAUGGGAGUGUUGAGGAGAGGCGCACAGUCCAAGAUGGCCAGGGGAACAAGGAAACCACAGUGACUUAUAUAGGGGGGCGCGAGGGGGUACAGGAUCAAGCCGGACCGCUCUUACCACCAGAGGGGACAUAUUGAAUGGACAAGCUGAGAUAUCUGGACAGAGCCUCUACAGACAGACGGAGGCUCAAGGGGAUGACAUCAGGCAUACUCAGCCGGUUUAAUCCCAGAUUACCAGUCUAGAGUUAGUUGUAAGUAUUUUUGCUUUAACACAGGACCACCAGGACAGGAGACAAUCGUAGACCUAAGAGGUUGAUAUGAUAGAGAACAAUUGGGGGUUAUUGAUUUAGUGGGGACAGAUAGGUACGAAGGAUGGAGGUACUGAAGGGAAGGCUGAGGGUGAGGAAUAUGCCAUUUAAGGAGUUAAUGGCUGAGACCUUGGCUAUGUUCGUCCUUAUGGUGAGUACUUCAUCUCAAAAUGUCUUUCUUCAAAUUAUCAAUGAUCAAGGGUUGUUACUGUUUUAUGCAUUCUUAAAUCUCAUGAAUUUGUUUAUUCUGUGUUUGAAAGUGCUUGGGAGCAAAAGCUACCUCACCACAAUUGAGGAACAUAUUCAAAAUGUUCUAGAGUAGCUGUUCCUCGAAUCCAUUGGCCAUUCAAAGAUUUGUUUCGACACGGUCAAGACUUGAGUUGGAAUGAGAUCCAGAAACGUGGAACUGAACAGAGCAACCCUGGGUUAAAACGGAAUCUUCUAGAACGUACUUAACUCUUCUAUCACCUCCCCCAUUGCAAGGGACUUGCCUAGUUAAAUAAAUGUUCAAUUAAAACUAAAACAACAAAGUCUACGUGCUGCUUUUAGUUCUCGCCAACCUUGUUGUAAUUUACAUAUUUUUGUCUUCAUCUUUUCCUUUAUCAGUGUCUUUUGAAGAUGUUUGGCAAGCAUGCAUGGUGACUACUAAUUUGACCUUUAUCUCUCUUCCCCCUUUCUUGUCCACCCUUCCUCUUCUCUCCCUACUCCGUCCCUCUCUCCUUCCUCGAUCUCGCCCUCAGCGAUGGCCCAGGUGAAGUUGACUCGAGGGGCCAAGGGUGAGUACCUCUCGGUCAAUAUGGCCUUCUCAGUGGGCGUCAUGAGUGCCAUGUACAUUGCCAGGGGCGUCUCUGGUAAGUGGUAAUUCAAGACAACUACCGGUAGCCUCGUAAAUGCAUAACCCUUCCCAAGUAUAAGACAGAGAACCCAAAUUGUAGUGAUAACUUUCUCACUGCUUUGACUUGAUUUUCAUUGAACUCUUCUGUAACCCUAUUGUUAUUAACCUGACCCUUAUACUGUAGACUCACUACAUAUACUGAAUGUUAUCAAUAUCGUACCAUACAUAACAAUAAGGUAGACAGUGCAAAUGGUGCUUUAUCAGAUUAUUUAUCAUCUUCAAAUAGAUACAGAUUUUUCUCUUACCUCUUCUUCCCUCUUUCCUUUUCCCUCUCUCAGGAGCCCACCUGAACCCAGCUGUCUCCCUUAUUCGUUGUGUGCUUGGGAGGCUAAGUCUAAACUGCUGCCCUACUGCAUGUCUCAGGUUCUUGGGGCCUAUAUAGCUGCUGCUGUGUUCUUCUCCGUGUACUAUCGUGGGUCCGAUAAAACGUGUAGAAGGAAACACUGCUGAAAUUACAGUUGUCUUAGAUAUUUCUAACUCUCUUUCUUGGUUUUCCUCUCUCUGUCCCUCUAUCCAUAUGCUACUCCAGCGGUGGCGUCCUGACUGUGUACAGCCCAAAUGAAACGGCCUCCAUCUUUGCUACCUACCCAUCUGACUACCUUUCUCUAUGGGGCAGCUUCUUUGACCAAGGAGGAGAGAGGGAAAAUAAUCCGUGCAUACAGUAAUGCAUUCUUGAGGAUUGUGGGUAUUGUACCUCUGAGGAUAUUUUACAGAUGGAUCUUAAUUUGACCAGUAUUGUACCAAGAAAAAUAAUCCUGCAGCAACACGAUUUGAACAUUUAGUCCAUGUUGCUUUAUUGGUGGUUAGAAGUAGGCUAAAUGAAAAGUGCAAUGCUGUUAAUAUAACCGUGUGUUAUUGCGUGUUUUCAGUUAAUGUAUGUCAAUCAUGACUCUCAUCUGCAUUUCCUGUGGUUCAGGAAAAUUCUCAGCAACAGAAGUGAUCAAAUAAACAUCCUACAUCUGUACGUCUAACUUCAUCACUAAUCCUUUACACUGUACAUGCUUUUAGUUUUAUAUGUUAUGCCUUGUUGUAUCUACCAUUCCUUCCCCACACACAGUUAGUUCCCUCAGGAAAUAAAACAUAUUUGAAAAUGUAACUAAUCCAUACCUUUCUGUUUCCUUCAGUUGGUGGGCACAGGUAUGAUCAUGAUGUGCUUCCAGCCCCUGGAUGAACGGCGGAACAAGCCUUCCCCCUUCUGACCUGGUCCCCCCCCCUCACCGCCGUGGUUCUCACAGGGAUCUCCCAGUCCAUGUCUUCAAACUGCGGGGGAGGGAUCAACGCCUCCUCACUCUGACCGCAGGAUGGGGUACAAAGGUCUUCACGUGCUAUAACUACUGGUUUUGGGUCCCCAUCGUGGCUCUGGGCUCUACCUGGUCUUCGUCCAAUGGCACUUACCAGACUGAGAUAAAUUAAACCAAUGACUUGCAGUUCAAGACCAUGGAUAAAAAGCUGGAAAUCAUCAAAAACAACAAUGCUGUAGAGCUGGCCCACAAGUUCUAGUUGGCAUAACCUUGUCCCCAGGCUCAAUUGCUACACAGAGAGAGUGCCGGCUGGGUGGAUGAGAUUAUAGUUGGUGGUACAGAUGAAGGAUAUACUCGUUUUAUCUCUUCUUUAGCCUUUUUAUGAGCAAAGUAACCAUCUGAAUAACUGAACAUGGUGUUCAGAAUAUUAGAUACAUUUCCUUUGGUGUUGAUAGUACUGUGGGACUUUAUACAAUAUUUUGAAAAAUAAUGAAAAUGACAUGCAAUGAACUUGUAACAGACUGCUUUAUGACAUUCUCUAUCAACUAUACAGAGCCAUAUAUUUUCAGAAAUAUUUGGAUCUUGAGCAAUCUAUAGAUCACUUCAUUCCAUUUAACGAUACUGUUGAUUACAACAACAAAAUAACACCCCUCACCUUUCUGCAUUGAUGAACUAUAGGGCAACCGACAUUAAUGAUGUCAUACAGGGGUCGGUUCACAAAUAGAGUACAUUUUGUGUAGUGUAACUUGGUAAAUAAAAAAAUAAUCAAAUUUUAA